This is a long non-coding RNA of Carassius gibelio (silver crucian carp), 832 nucleotides long. RefSeq lists it as uncharacterized. NCBI's taxonomy places the organism in Eukaryota, Metazoa, Chordata, Actinopteri, Cypriniformes, Cyprinidae. The record is from RefSeq and is a predicted model, not a curated record. The transcript is spliced from 4 exons.
GCAUGUUAGUGCAGAUCAGCGAUGAAGCCGGUGUCACCGUGGAGGUGCUGCUCCUGAUCCUGUGUCCUGUCUGAAAGAGCAGUGAGAUUUUAGUCUGUGCACUAAACCUGUUUGAGCACUAGCAAUGUAAGGUUUUCAAGACCUUGCUGUGUUGAAGUUUAAGUGGGGCUUGGGAUUUUUGGAGCUGAAUAAGACUCUUCUAGAGCGUUACGCUUCCAGCCAAUCAGAAGAGGAACUACUGGCUGUGGAGAAAGAGUUUCUCAGUGCCGCCCAUCAGGAAGAGGAUUUAGAUUCUUUCGAUGUGGACUCAGGAAGAGACUUUUUGAAUCUCAACCGACCAGUCCAGGCUGAGGACAGUGACAGUGAUGAGACAUCAGAUGAGGAAGAUGAUGGUGAGGAGGAAGAACAGUAGAGUAAAGAGGACAAUGAUGACAGAAAUGAGGAGUCUUGAGUUGUGUAAUCUUCAAAUGUAACAUUUGGGGAAGAAGGAUGUUUAGUCACUGAUUUAGUAACACUGACCUCCACUUGACAUGAGCAAACUUCUGUUUUUCUGCGUGUUUGCAGAUGGAUGCAAAUAUGGAACUAGUAAGUUAACAAAACCAGAGUAAUACCAGGCCUGGACUUUAUGUUGUUUUGAUUGUGCGCAGCUGUCGUCUGUGAGGGGCUGCCGCGUUAUUUUCAUUAAAGUUAGCUUUAAAUGUUCACCCGAUCCCGCAGCCUCCUUCCUUAUGUAUGAACUUUUUUACACAUUUAUUAUUGAAAACCUUUUUGACAUGUUGUUAAACAGAAUGAAAUGUUGAAAUAAAUAUUAAAUGGCAUUUGCUGCAUUUGA